GCAGUCGGUCAAGCUUUCAACAAUCGAAAGUAUUGUCUUCUGGAUAAGUUUUGUUUCUUGUACUCUGUCAAGAACUAACAUGUUGCUAGUAGCUACCCUAAAGGCUUGAUUCAUAGAGCCAGAGCGUCUCAACUAUAUAUAGGCCCACUAAGGGGAUGUGAGUUAGAACCCACUAGGGCGAGACGCUCAUGUCUCCUUGAUGGGUGGUUGUGUGCCAAUGUACGGUCGAGGUGCUCUCAAGUUUGUAAACCAAGCCCUCAAGGCAGCCGCUCUCGACAGAGUACGGGAGACAACCCUUUCGAGAGUCAACAUGUCGUCAGCAGUUGCCCUAAGGGCUUGGUUCAUAGAGCCAGACCAUCUCGACUGUAUACGGGUCCACCAAGGGGAUGUGGGCGAGAACCCCACCAGGGGCGAGAUGCUCAUGUCCCCUUGGUGGGUGGUGUGUGCCCAUGUAAGGUCAAGGCACUCUCAAUUCUGUAAACCAAACCCUUAAGGCAACUGCUCAUGGCACGCUGACUGUUGACAGAGUACGGGAGACAAAAACCCUUUCUAAGGGCAAUACCUUCGAUUAUUAGUAGGGGCAAAGACAAACCUCCCAAUUAAUAUAAUAGUAAAA
Molecule: long non-coding RNA, 616 nt
Filed under: Gossypium barbadense (sea-island cotton)
Lineage: Eukaryota; Viridiplantae; Streptophyta; Magnoliopsida; Malvales; Malvaceae
Description: long non-coding RNA (GBAR_LNC009833)
Source: RNAcentral